Molecule: long non-coding RNA, 922 nt
Filed under: Vigna radiata
Lineage: Eukaryota; Viridiplantae; Streptophyta; Magnoliopsida; Fabales; Fabaceae
Description: long non-coding RNA (VRAD_LNC014033)
Source: RNAcentral
CACUCUCGAUCACUCAAUGGAAAGCCCAAAAACUCCAUUGUCAAGAUCAAAGGUUCUACUCUAUGAAAGCUUUGAAAAAUCUAAAACUAAAGCAAGAGAAUUGAAAACCUAAUCUAAGUAGCGUCCAUCACCCCCUACUCUUAUUCUACUCAUUACAAGACUCCCCCUUUCUAUAGGGAGAGUCAGAAAAUGAAGAAAUGAAAGAAAAUGGGAAAGGGGAGGAAAUUCAAACUAACUCGGAAGCUUCGCGCUCUCGUUCUUCAACUAACUCUAAAUCGUUCAAAAACCGUCGACUACUUCACACAUGCUUCCAACCAUGAAUUUGACCAAUCAAUCCUCUUUUGGUUAGCUUCAUCUUGUCUGAACAUCAUUUUGGGCUUCGUCCACAGUGAUCCAUGGAACUCACAUCACUUCUUCUCCUCCUCGCUGACAAACACUAACUCCAAGUGUUGGGAGAAUUGGGAGAAAACCCCAAAUGAUUCUGUCUCUACACGAAUGAAGCGUAAAGCAAGAGACCCCUCUUCAGCUUUGCAUAAUUUUAAAGUCAUAUCUCCUCUUACAACUUAACUAACCUCGUAUUUUUUUUUUAAAAAUGUAUCCAAUAUAAAUCAAUAAAAAUUGCACUAUUUUAGUAAAUAAAUUGAAGUUUCAUCCAAAAUGGAGAAAGGGGAGGUCUAUAAAGUGCGAACCUCAGCUAGUCUUUUAAGCCAUUCACGUUCUCAGAUUUUGAAUUCAUGGCCAUUGAGAUCCUUAAAGCUUUUGAGUACCACUUAAUUGGGACAAUUGAAAACAUAUAUGCCUGAUCUAUGAUCACGAGAUCUAGAUACCGUCUUGAAGUACCUUCCCGUUAAUGAAGAACUUCUUGUUGAAAGGUAAGGCAAAAGUUGAAGCCUAUGGCAAUGGGACACGUUUAAAUAUGCUA